GAGGGCUUAGCUUAAUUAAAGUAAUUGAUUUGCGUUCAGUUGAUGCAAAAUAAGGUUUGCAGUCCUUA
This 68-nucleotide transfer RNA is filed under the name Sapajus apella (tufted capuchin). Its description in RNAcentral is "Cebus apella (Tufted capuchin) tRNA". It matches the Rfam family "tRNA". Rfam says of the family: Transfer RNA (tRNA) molecules are approximately 80 nucleotides in length. Their secondary structure includes four short double-helical elements and three loops (D, anti-codon, and T loops). The record is from Rfam by way of RNAcentral. Lineage: Eukaryota; Metazoa; Chordata; Mammalia; Primates; Cebidae. RNAcentral also lists the same sequence under 5 other names.